AUUGAACGCUGGCGGCAUGCCUAACACAUGCAAGUCGAACGAGUGGCGGACGGGUGAGUCAUGUCUGGGAAACUGCCCGAUGGAGGGGGAUAACUACUGGAAACGGUAGCUAAUACCGCAUACCAUCGGAUGUGCCCAGAUGGGAUUAGCUUGUAGGUGGGGUAAUGGCUCACCUAGGCGACGAUCCCUAGCUGGUCUGAGAGGAUGACCAGCCAAACGGGAACUGAGACACGGGCCAGACUCCUACGGGAGGCAGCAGUGGGGAAUAUUGCACAAGGGGCGCAAGCCUGAUGAAGCCAUGCGGCGGGUAUGAAGAAGGCCUUCGGGUUGUAAAGUACUUUCAGCGAGGAGGCGUUACUCGCAGAAGAAGCAACGGCUAACUCCGUGCCAGCAGCCGCGGUAAUUC
Molecule: ribosomal RNA, 406 nt
Filed under: uncultured bacterium
Lineage: Bacteria
Description: partial 16S ribosomal RNA
Rfam family: Bacterial small subunit ribosomal RNA
Source: RNAcentral